Molecule: small RNA, 129 nt
Filed under: Marisediminitalea lipolytica
Lineage: Bacteria; Pseudomonadati; Pseudomonadota; Gammaproteobacteria; Alteromonadales; Alteromonadaceae
Description: Alteromonas lipolytica RtT sRNA
Rfam family: RtT RNA
About the family: This family represents a bacterial cis-regulatory element known as RtT RNA. The exact function of RtT is unknown although it is thought that it may be involved in changing the cellular response in relation to amino acid starvation.
Source: RNAcentral
AGCUACACAUGCUCGCGCCGGAUGCGAACCAGCGAAGCUGUUCGACACUAAACUCUGUUUAGUGAACGUGCUUUAGCACGGCCCGAAGGGUGAGCCUUGUAAAGGCGAAUCAUCCAGCACGACACACCA